UGCCAGAUUUAGCAACAUUUCAGAUAAACAAGGAAACCUUUUUUAAAGUAUAAGUAUAUCCCAUGCAAUAUUUGGGACAUACUUAUACUAAAAAACUAAUUGUUGUUUAUCUGAAAUUCAGAUUUAAUUGG
RNAcentral lists this microRNA precursor (131 nucleotides) under Loxodonta africana (African savanna elephant). RNAcentral describes it as "miRNA (ENSLAFG00000033108.1)". The stretch from base 42 to 93 matches the Rfam family "mir-1302 microRNA precursor family". Lineage: Eukaryota; Metazoa; Chordata; Mammalia; Proboscidea; Elephantidae. The record is from RNAcentral.